AACGAACGCUGGCGGCAUGCCUAACACAUGCAAGUCGGACGAGACCUUCGGGUCUAGUGGCGCACGGGUGCGUAACGCGUGGGAACCUGCCCUUAGGUUCGGAAUAACUCCCCGAAAGGGGUGCUAAUACCGGAUAAUGUCUUCGGACCAAAGAUUUAUCGCCUUUGGAUGGGCCCGCGUUGGAUUAGCUAGUUGGUAGGGUAAAAGCCUACCAAGGCGACGAUCCAUAGCUGGUCUGAGAGGAUGAUCAGCCACACUGGGACUGAGACACGGCCCAGACUCCUACGGGAAGCAGCAGUGGGGAAUAUUGGACAAUGGGCGAAAGCCUGAUCCAGCAAUGCCGCGUGAGUGAUGAAGGCCUUAGGGUUGUAAAGCUCUUUUACCCGGGAUGAUAAUGACAGUACCGGGAGAAUAAGCUCCGGCUAACUCCGUG
Molecule: ribosomal RNA, 433 nt
Filed under: uncultured bacterium
Lineage: Bacteria
Description: partial 16S ribosomal RNA
Rfam family: Bacterial small subunit ribosomal RNA
Source: RNAcentral